GCGGUCCCACCGAUUUACAUGCCACCUCACCUAACAGUUAUUGAUGACACAUAAAUGGAUGAGUGUACAACUCUUGUACAAUGUUUCUCAAGCAUGUUGCAGUGCUUCUUGGUCUCUAAGUCAUGUAGACCUCACCUAAUAGUUAUUGGUCCCAUUUCUUAGUUAAGUCAGACCCACCGUAUAACCGUAGAAAUAAAGUCAUCAUUGGGUCCUCACCUAACAGUUAUU
Molecule: long non-coding RNA, 228 nt
Filed under: Phoenix dactylifera (date palm)
Lineage: Eukaryota; Viridiplantae; Streptophyta; Magnoliopsida; Arecales; Arecaceae
Description: long non-coding RNA (PDAC_LNC012920)
Source: RNAcentral